CUUCUAUCCAGAGCAGUCGAGGGAACGGCCCGACGACACUGCGGCAACCUGUAGCCGCCGCUCGCCCAUCACCGAGCAGGCCGCUGCGUGGUGCUAACUCCGCCUCGGGGCCCCCACCGCUAGGCACAGCGGCGAGCCCGGGGAAAGAUAGAAG
This is a regulatory RNA element of 154 nucleotides. It matches the Rfam family "SAM riboswitch aptamer (S box leader)". From Rfam's summary of the family: The SAM riboswitch is found upstream of a number of genes which code for proteins involved in methionine or cysteine biosynthesis in Gram-positive bacteria. The SAM riboswitch acts at the level of transcription termination control. The record is from Rfam.